ACGGGAGGCAGCAGUGGGGAAUAUUGGGCAAUGGGCGAAAGCCUGACCCAGCGACGCCGCGUGAGGGAAGAAGGUCUUCGGAUUGUAAACCUCUGUUGACAGGGAAGAAGAAAGUGACGGUACCUGUCGAGGAAGCCACGGCUAACUACGUGCCAGCAGCCGCGGUAAUACGUAGGUGGCGAGCGUUAUCCGGAAUUACUGGGUGUAAAGGGUGUGUAGGCGGGACUGCAAGUCAGGUGUGAAAACUAUGGGCUCAACCCAUAGCCUGCACUUGAAACUGUAGUUCUUGAGUGUCGGAGAGGUAAAUGGAAUUCCCAGUGUAGCGGUGAAAUGCGUAGAUAUUGGGAAGAACACCGGUGGCGAAGGCGAUUUACUGGACGAUAACUGACGCUGAGACACGAAAGCGUGGGGAGCAAACAGGAUUAGAUACCCUGGUA
This 437-nucleotide ribosomal RNA is filed under the name uncultured Oscillospiraceae bacterium. RNAcentral describes it as "bacterial SSU rRNA". It matches the Rfam family "Bacterial small subunit ribosomal RNA", at positions 341 to 792 of the family's 1533-position model. RNAcentral also lists the same sequence under 1 other name. The record is from RNAcentral. Lineage: Bacteria; Bacillati; Bacillota; Clostridia; Eubacteriales; Oscillospiraceae.